UUUUCGUCCGUCGUUUAGAGGAUGAGCACCUCCGCAGGAGGUUCGAGCCUCGCGAAGCGAGACAACGUUGCUUCAGCAACGGCCCGCAGGGCGCGCAUCAAAGAUGCGCGUAAUCCUCUCUCGCCGACCA
RNAcentral lists this small RNA (130 nucleotides) under Serratia marcescens. Its description in RNAcentral is "RtT sRNA". It matches the Rfam family "RtT RNA". Rfam says of the family: This family represents a bacterial cis-regulatory element known as RtT RNA. The exact function of RtT is unknown although it is thought that it may be involved in changing the cellular response in relation to amino acid starvation. The record is from RNAcentral. Lineage: Bacteria; Pseudomonadati; Pseudomonadota; Gammaproteobacteria; Enterobacterales; Yersiniaceae.